Molecule: unclassified non-coding RNA, 2645 nt
Filed under: Leishmania donovani
Lineage: Eukaryota; Euglenozoa; Kinetoplastea; Trypanosomatida; Trypanosomatidae
Description: gene:LdHU3.09.1570(CDS-product:Bromodomain_putati ve)
Source: RNAcentral
AGUAGCCGUGAACGUGCUUGAGCGUGAUUGACCCGGAGGCGCCCAUCCAAGCACGCGCCAACGCUCUCCGUCCUUUCCGAAGCCCCUACGCCUGCAAGCGCACACAUUUUGCGGACGACUCGCCCCUCUGUGCCCUCCUCUUCCUCCCAAAAGCAGAGGUGAGCCUCCUCGCGUCUGUCUGUGUAGUCGUCGCGACCUGCAUGCGUGUGGCGGUGCACCGCCGCCUCGUUGCCGUGGCGAGCGUUUCCGUCGGAGUACCGCGCCCUCCCAUCCCCAGAGCUCGUGGUGGUCUGUGCCGCUUUCCUGGUGCUCUACCGCUGCACGCAUCAUGUCGGCGACGCCGAAGCUGUACAACGAGGCGGACGUCGCCGCCCUCGUUCGCUCGCUCGACCGGGCCGAGGACCACCACAUCUUCGCUGUAGACGUCCUGGAGACGUACCCGUACUUGGCGGAGUCGUACACGAAGGUCUGCCCACGACGCUGCGAUCUCGCGACCGCCGCGCAGAAGGCACUGGAGGGAGCCUACAGCUACGAUUUGCGUCUGGAAGGGCUCAAGGCCGACAUUGCCCUGAUGGCGUCGAACUGCGUCGCAUAUAACGGCCCCACGAGCGCGUACGCGGAGACAGCGGCGAAGUUUGAGCGCUACGCGCUCGAGCAGAUCGAUGCCUUUGUCUUGGAGCACAACGGCGGGUGCCGCGUGUCGCGUCUGCGUUUGCCGAGGGCGAGCGCGUCGCAAGAGCACGCGUCGGCGGAUGGUACCGCGCCAAAGAAGGGAAGCGCUGGCACGUCGGCGGCGCCCCCGAGUACGCGGGAGAUGGUGCAGCUGGUGGAUUCGCUGAAUAGACGCGAAGACGGCGGCGCCUUCUCCGUAGACGUGGCGGAGGCGUACCCGGACCUGCGCGAUAGCUAUCGAAAGAUUUGCCCACGCCCCAUGAACCUCAUCCUCAUGCGCCAGCGCGCGAAGGAGGGGUACUACACAAGUGGCUCCGCCACUGUCUACGGCGACACCGUUGCCGCGUCCUUAACGAGGCUCCGUGAGGACAUUGAGCUGCUCGUGCGCAACUGCAUCACCUUCAAUGUGAAGGUGGAGUCGUGGGUGACGCUCGCGCGCUCCUUUCAGGCUUUUGCGCACCGCCGCGUGGACGACUUCGUUCUCCGCCACGCCGCUUUUCUGCGCGGCACGACGAUGGGUGCGGAAGUGUACGAGAGUAAAGGCAACGCAUCGACCUCCGCUCCGUUAGCUACGGCAAGCGGUUCUGCGGGCGGUGAUGACGCUGACCGCUCCGGGCAGGCGAGCCCGACAGCCGCGGCCGACACGGUCACGGUAACCAGUGGAGGCAUCGGCGGCAGCGCGGCGGCAGCUGGUUCACGCAAACGCGAGCGCGUGGAUGAGCGUGUCGCCGCCUCUGGCGGCCGUCUUCGCGCCCCUGUCCCAGUCUCUCGGGUGCAGGUCGUAGCAGAGGCAACGCCGCAGGUCUGCCCCACCCCUCUCCAGCCGAGCUUGACGAUCCCGCCGCUGCUGCGGCGUAGGCUGACCAUGGACCACGUGCGCCACACACGACUGCCUCUGCGACGAGUCGGCGUGUCCGUGUUGCGCGACGAGCUGUACCCGCCUGCGGUCUCCCCCGCUGACGUCAAAGCCUCUUCCGAUUCUUCAGCUGCGGCUGGUGGCGCAGAGGCGGCGACAACAUCGACGGCGAUGGUGAACAUCGACGCCUCCUGUAGCGCGAGUCACGUGCUUAAGCUUCUGCGCGAGUCCGUAGUCAAAUUCUUCGCAGCGCAGCGCAGUGGCACGGACUUUGUCGACACGUUUGCCUACUCUGCGCGAGAGGAGCAGUUAUAUCUCUCCGUGCUCGCGGUGGUGGCAGAGAAGUACCAGAGCACCGCGGCGCACCUUCUACUGUACGAAACCGAGUCUGCCGAGCUCCAGGAGUGGGCCGCGCUGCGUGCCUUGGACAGCUGUCGCGAUGCAGGCCGGACGGCCCCGGCGCCUGCCGACGCCGGCGACACUAUUGCGGGCGACCUUCAUUAUCUGUACUUUGUGCGUUUUCUCGUGCAGUGGCCGCAGCUCGCCUCACUGUGCUGCACCACGGCAACCCCCUCGUCAGUCCCGGCCAGCGCGGCAGCUGCGCGAGGGGCGUCUGGGGCGGCGCAGGGCUCGCUGCGCAUCUCGCGCGAGCAGCUCAAAGUUGUGGCGCAAGUGACGCACAUCACGCAGGAAUUUCUUCAGUUUCUCGAGGCCAUGGAGGAGCGGCAGCGCCAGUAACGCGACGGGACAGGACGGCAGGGGCGAGACAAUGGAAGGCCGACGCGAGGCAAGAGCAGCGCAGGAGACAGCAGGGAACGCCGGCAGCACGCACGAAGAGGGGCGUCUGAUUGAAGCACACGAGUGUACCCAAGUACCCACGGACUGCCUCCUCCCCGCACACACCCCUUUACGCAGCGCCUGUCAUUGCGCGCGCCUAGAGGUUGUCCUGUGUGGUUUGAUGGCUGCCGAUUCUGUCGCGCGCGUACGGCAGGGCCGCCCUUCACAGACGCAGGCAGAAGUGACGCGGACCUUUUUUCAUCUCUGUCCACGGCAGUGGCGGGCCAUCUCGCUGCGCCGCACACAGCCCUAAUACAUGUACCUCCAUAGGCGCACCAAC